Molecule: long non-coding RNA, 443 nt
Organism: Trichoplusia ni (cabbage looper)
Lineage: Eukaryota; Metazoa; Arthropoda; Insecta; Lepidoptera; Noctuidae
Exons: 2
Source: RefSeq, a predicted model, not a curated record
UUUUAAAGUUCAAUACGCACCUAAAUUCUUUGUGUUCAUGACAAGAUAAAGAUAUAUUUAUUUGUAUAAACAUGUGUAACAUAAUACAUGACUUUAUCAAAUUUAUAUUACCUGCCAGAAUUUCAUUAUCUAACAAAAACUUUUUCGUUUUGUUCGCACUAUCAAGAAAGAUAAGAAACAUAUUUUAUUACAAAGACACAUUAAUAUCUAACAUGUAUUUGUGUAUUUAUUUUUUAAUCAUUAGUGAGUUGCAUGUAAAAGGUGCUAAGUUUGGUGUGCUCCAGGAAAACUAUUCAAUUAUGUAAUCAGAAGUAGUAAGUUGGAAAUGGGAAAUGUGCAGCAAUACCAGCAAAAGUAUUGUUUAAUACUAAAUUCUAAUUCCUUCUUAGCUUAAUUUUACAAAUUAUUAUGGCAAUAAAACAAUCAAGUAUCCCCAAAUUGUA